Molecule: ribosomal RNA, 508 nt
Filed under: uncultured bacterium
Lineage: Bacteria
Description: partial 16S ribosomal RNA
Rfam family: Bacterial small subunit ribosomal RNA
Source: RNAcentral
GACGAACGCUGGCGGCGUGCCUAAUACAUGCAAGUCGAACACUUCUUUCCUCCCGAGUGCUUGCACUCAAUUGGAAAGAGGAGUGGCGGACGGGUGAGUAACACGUGGGUAACCUACCCAUCAGAGGGGGAUAACACUUGGAAACAGGUGCUAAUACCGCAUAACAGUUUAUGCCGCAUGGCAUAAGAGUGAAAGGCGCUUUCGGGUGUCGUUGAUGGAUGGACCCGCGGUGCAUUAGCUAGUUGGUGAGGUAACGGCUCACCAAGGCCACGAUGCAUAGCCGACCUGAGAGGGUGAUCGGCCACACUGGGACUGAGACACGGCCCAGACUCCUACGGGAGGCAGCAGUAGGGAAUCUUCGGCAAUGGACGAAAGUCUGACCGAGCAACGCCGCGUGAGUGAAGAAGGUUUUCGGAUCGUAAAACUCUGUUGUUAGAGAAGAACAAGGACGUUAGUAACUGAACGUCCCCUGACGGUAUCUAACCAGAAAGCCACGGCUAACUACGUG